CCUACGGGAGGCAGCAGCAAGGAAUUUUGCGCAAUGGGCGAAAGCCUGACGCAGCAACGCCGCGUGAGGGAAGAAGGCCUUCGGGUUGUAAACCUCUUUUGUCAGGGAAGAAAAAUGACGGUACCUGAUGAAUAAGUCACGGCUAACUACGUGCCAGCAGCCGCGGUAAU
RNAcentral lists this ribosomal RNA (170 nucleotides) under uncultured bacterium. Its description in RNAcentral is "partial 16S ribosomal RNA". It matches the Rfam family "Bacterial small subunit ribosomal RNA", at positions 338 to 524 of the family's 1533-position model. The record is from RNAcentral.